CUCCGGUCCUCAUAUGAUCCUAGUUUACAACAGAAAAGGGGCUUAUAAUUCCUUAGUACCAAUAAUAGAAACGAUCCCCAC
RNAcentral lists this small RNA (81 nucleotides) under Spisula solidissima (Atlantic surf clam). Lineage: Eukaryota; Metazoa; Mollusca; Bivalvia; Venerida; Mactridae. The record is from RNAcentral.